UGGAGAGUUUAUACCAGAACUUUCAAAAUGGAUUUUCUUUUCUUUUCCUGGCUCUGUAUAGUUGUGGGAAGAUGACACCAAGGCAUUAUGGAUUUUGGAUAUUGAAAGGGCAAUCUACCAUUGAAUGUGUGGCUUUGGAGAGCAAGAUCUGAGAGUCUGACUUUUACAGAUGAAUCAAAGACUCUGUUGUCUUCUGGCCUCCAGUGAAGUUCACCCAAUAAGAAGAAAUGAAAAGAGAUCAGAGACUGAGCAAGGGCGGUGGGAGGAUGCCAAGUCAGGAGGAGAGCCCUGCCUGAGACUGAAUCAGCUGGAAACAUGAUCUUGGACUUCUGGCUUCCAAAACUUUUUAUUGCAGAUAUGUUACUGCAUCAGAAGAAUCAGACAUUUUAUUCAAAGCAAACAUCUGGGACUAUAUAAAUUCUAGGGUUAGGAAGAGUAAGACUUGCCAGACAAUAAUGACAAAUACAGGAGAAAAAAACAGACUGAAAGGAAAUUUGCUUCUGUGUUCGAAUGGAGAAAGAACAAAAGCCCUAAUGAGGACACUUGAGACAUGAUUACCAUGAAUGAAAG
This is a long non-coding RNA of Ailuropoda melanoleuca (giant panda), 570 nucleotides long. RefSeq lists it as uncharacterized. The transcript is spliced from 6 exons. NCBI's taxonomy places the organism in Eukaryota, Metazoa, Chordata, Mammalia, Carnivora, Ursidae. The record is from RefSeq and is a predicted model, not a curated record.